GAACGUGAAAUGUAGCAAUACAGAGUAAAGUGGCGUACGGGUGAGUAAUACGUAGGUAAUCUACCUAAGUGUCUGGAAUAACCGGCCGAAAGGCUGGCUAAUACUGGAUAGAGCGACGGGACUCGUAAUUGGGUCUUUCGGGAAAGGGAGCUCGCAAGAGCCUUCGCACUUAGAUGAGCCUGCGUCUGAUUAGCUAGUUGGCGGGGUAACGGCCCACCAAGGCGAUGAUCGGUAGCUGGUCUGAGAGGAUGAUCAGCCACACUGGAACUGAAACACGGUCCAGACUCCUACGGGAGGCAGCAGUGGGGAAUCUUGCGCAAUGGGCGAAAGCCUGACGCAGCCACGCCGCGUGAGUGAAGAAGGCCUUCGGGUUGUAAAGCUCUGUCGGAGGGGACGAAAACUAUUAACGUUAAUAGCGUUAGGAAUUGACGGUACCCUCAAAGGAAGCACCGGCUAACUUCGUG
This 464-nucleotide ribosomal RNA is filed under the name uncultured bacterium. Its description in RNAcentral is "bacterial SSU rRNA". It matches the Rfam family "Bacterial small subunit ribosomal RNA", at positions 64 to 507 of the family's 1533-position model. The record is from RNAcentral.